UAAAGGUUUGGUCCUAGCCUUUCUAUUAGCUACUAGCAAACUUACACAUGCAAGCAUCCCCGCGCCAGUGAGAAUGCCCUCCAGGUCUACAAGACCCAAAGGAGCCGACAUCAAGCACGCUGUAAAGCAGCUCAUAACGUCUUGCUUAACCACACCCCCACGGGACACAGCAGUGACAAAAAUUAAGCUAUGAACGAAAGUUUGACUAAGUUAUGCUAUUCAGGGUUGGUAAAUUUCGUGCCAGCCACCGCGGUCAUACGAUUGACCCGAGCUAAUGGAAUCACGGCGUAAAAUGUGUUUAUGGGAACGUCAUAAAAUAAGGUCAAAUAGAGCCCAAGCGGUAAAAUGCUACCGGCUAAUUAAGAUCCAUGACGAAAGUAACCUUAUUAGCCCUGACUACACUACAAUUAAGACCCAAACUGGGAUUAGAUACCCCACUAUGCUUAAUCAUAAACUAAGGUAGUUAAUGUAACAAAACUACCCGCCAGAGAACUACGUGCCACAGCCCAAAACUCAAAGGACUUGGCGGUGCUUUACACCCACCUAGAGGAGCCUGUUCUAUAAUCGAUGAACCCCGAUACACCUCACCAUCUCUUGCUAAUUCAGCCUAUAUACCGCCAUCUUCAGCAAACCCUAAAAAGGAAACAAAGUAAGCUCAAUCACCAACAUAAAAAAGUUAGGUCAAGGUGUAGCCUAUGGGAUGGGAAGAAAUGGGCUACAUUUUCUCUAAUAGAACACAACGCCAGCCCUCCUGAAAUCUGAGGGCCAAAGGAGGAUUUAGUAGUAAACUGAGAAUAGAGAGCUCAAUUGAAUUAGGCCAUAAAGCACGCACACACCGCCCGUCACCCUCCUCAAAUACGAAUAUAAUUAUAAUACAACAUAUAACCAAAUUAACAAGUACUAGAGGAGACAAGUCGUAACAAGGUAAGUGUACUGGAAGGUGCACUUGGAAGAG
Molecule: non-coding RNA, 955 nt
Filed under: Dendrogale melanura (Bornean smooth-tailed tree shrew)
Lineage: Eukaryota; Metazoa; Chordata; Mammalia; Scandentia; Tupaiidae
Description: 12S ribosomal RNA
Rfam family: Bacterial small subunit ribosomal RNA
Source: RNAcentral